GCAGGUAUAGCUGAGUGGUAGAGUGUGUGCCUACCAUAUACAGGGUCCUGGGUUCAAUCCCCAAUACCUCA
Molecule: transfer RNA, 71 nt
Filed under: Fukomys damarensis (Damara mole-rat)
Lineage: Eukaryota; Metazoa; Chordata; Mammalia; Rodentia; Bathyergidae
Rfam family: tRNA
About the family: Transfer RNA (tRNA) molecules are approximately 80 nucleotides in length.
Source: Rfam by way of RNAcentral